UGUACUGGACUUGGAGUCAGAAGACUUGGGUUUGGGAACUGGGCAAGCCGCUUAUGGUUGUGGUUAAGCCCAGCACACAGUCUUUCUGACCUGG
This 94-nucleotide microRNA precursor is filed under the name Mesocricetus auratus (golden hamster). RNAcentral's name for it is "miRNA (ENSMAUG00000005516.1)". The record is from RNAcentral. Lineage: Eukaryota; Metazoa; Chordata; Mammalia; Rodentia; Cricetidae.